GGAUGGAUGACCGAGUGGUUUAAGGAGCCGGUCUUGAAAACCGGUGUGGGGCAACCCACCGAGGGUUCGAAUCCCUCUCCAUCCGCCA
RNAcentral lists this transfer RNA (88 nucleotides) under Candidatus Nomurabacteria bacterium. RNAcentral's name for it is "tRNA-Ser". It matches the Rfam family "tRNA". From Rfam's summary of the family: Transfer RNA (tRNA) molecules are approximately 80 nucleotides in length. Their secondary structure includes four short double-helical elements and three loops (D, anti-codon, and T loops). Lineage: Bacteria; Candidatus Nomuraibacteriota. The record is from RNAcentral.